AUGCAAGCUAAACACGCUCCGGUGUCCGUCUUGCUGGUUCUCUUCGUGCUCUCCGUCGUCCUCACGCUGGUGCCACAGCCGCAGAAAUCAUUCUUCCGGGCUCGGCCACGGCCACUUCUGAUCGACAAUGAUGGCGGGGGCAUUACGGCUCACGCCUCCGGUGGUUGCGACUACUCCGACGGGAAAUGGGUGAAGGACGCCACUACCGCGACGCUCUACGGGGAAGACUGCCCGUUCCUCGAUCCCGGCUUCCGCUGCGAGCGCAACGGCAGGAACGACUCGUCCUUCCAGCAAUGGCGCUGGCAACCCCGCGGCAGCUGCCACCUUCCGAAGUUUAAUGCGACGGAUAUGUUGGAGAGGAGCCGGAACGGCCGAAUCGUGUUCGCUGGCGACUCCAUCGGCCGUAACCAGUGGGAGUCCAUGCUGUGCAUGCUCGCCAGCGCGGUGCCGAAUGGUUCGAGGAUAUACGAGCAGUCCGGGAAGCCCCUUAGCCGGCACAAGGGCUACCUCUCCAUGAUCUUCCUGGACUACAACCUCUCUGUGGAGUACUACCGCGCGCCGAUGCUCGUCAUGGUCGACCGCAUCCUGCCAGUGGCAAGCAACAAAGGUGCAAGCAUUACCAGGGGCGCCAUCCGGCUCGACGUGCUGCCACGCCACGCCACACGCUGGGCCGGUGCCGAUGUGCUCGUGCUCAACACGGGUCACUGGUGGAAUGAACACAAGACCAUCAAAUCAGGAAAUUAUUUCAUGGUGGGAGAUCGGUUCAACAUGACAAUGGACAUCAAGGAAGCGUUCCGGUUAUCCCUGCAGACGGUGAAAGAUUGGGCGCUAAGAAGUCCACGACUCUCCACGAGCGGCUACCUCUUCUUCAGGAGCUAUUCUCCAUCACACUACGACAACGGAACGUGGGACACUGGGGGCUCAUGCGCGGACCAACAGGACCCGCUGGUGAUGACCACUGGCGAGAGCGACCAAGAGUAUUCAUGGAUCAACACGAUGAUCUCGAGCACGGCACGACGCACGAGUAGACAACAGAUGAACAAUAGGGUGGUGUUCUUGAACAUAACGCACAUGACAGGGCUGAGAAGGGACGGUCAUCCGUCGCGACACCGAGAGCCCGGGACGCCGCCGGAUGCCCCAGAGGAUUGCAGCCACUGGUGCCUGCCAGGUGUGCCGGACGCGUGGAACCAGGUGAUGUACGGGCACCUCGUGUCUACGGGAUAUGGCAUGAGGUCGGUCAAAAAGUAA
This 1248-nucleotide ribosomal RNA is filed under the name Triticum aestivum (bread wheat). RNAcentral describes it as "partial small subunit ribosomal RNA". The record is from RNAcentral. Lineage: Eukaryota; Viridiplantae; Streptophyta; Magnoliopsida; Poales; Poaceae.